UACGUAGGGUGCGAGCGUUGUCCGGAAUCAUUGGGCGUAAAGCGCGCGUAGGCGGCCCUGUAAGUCCGUUGUGAAAGUCAAAGGCUCAACCUUUGAAAGCCGAUGGAUACUGCAGGGCUAGAGUCCGGAAGAGGCGAGUGGAAUUCCUGGUGUAGCGGUGGAAUGCGCAGAUAUCAGGAGGAACACCAAUAGCGAAGGCAGCUCGCUGGGACGGUACUGACGCUAAGGCGCGAAAGCGUGGGGAGCGAACAGG
This 253-nucleotide ribosomal RNA is filed under the name uncultured bacterium. RNAcentral describes it as "partial 16S ribosomal RNA". It matches the Rfam family "Bacterial small subunit ribosomal RNA", at positions 524 to 776 of the family's 1533-position model. The record is from RNAcentral.